Long non-coding RNA from Cavia porcellus (domestic guinea pig), 28863 nucleotides. RefSeq lists it as uncharacterized. Lineage: Eukaryota; Metazoa; Chordata; Mammalia; Rodentia; Caviidae. The transcript is spliced from 3 exons. The record is from RefSeq and is a predicted model, not a curated record.
UGAAACAAAAACCAGAAGUGCGUAGACACACCCUAAUCUAGCACCUGCUUUUGAAGCCACUUCGAAUAUUAUUAUUCUGUUUUUCUUGUGAAUUGGCUUCAAUUGGUUGUGAUUCCUGUGCAUCAAGCGUAUCUCAUAACCAGCAGUCACUCAUAGUCUAUUUUAAGUUUGGUUGUUAAAAUAAUGAGAUUUUGUUCAUGAGUGACACCUUGGUGAGGCCCAGCCUUCUCCAUUCAUGGUAUUGAUGCCACAGUCAUUGCGUUUGCAACAGCGAGGCACACACACAAACUUUCCAAAUCAUUUUCAAAGAUUCUCAGUUCUCUUUUUUUCUUUUUUUGGUGUCUAUUGUCUUCCCAGUAAUGGCUAAGACAUUGCUAGUUUGUCUCACUUCUUUUAAUUUCUCCAGAAGGCCUUAUGGCCCAAGAGUUCAUUUGGGACCAGAUUUUCAUUUCCUAAGGCUUAACUGACUUUUUUUGGGCAAAGAUCAAAAAUUUAUUCAUGCCAACCUAAGACAAAGCCGUUAGCUUAUUAUAACAUGUCACAUACAUAUUUUUAAUGAUAAAGGAAUGACUAUAGAAAUCCAAAAACAGGAACCAUAUUAAAUCUUGGCUUCAAGGAAUCCAAGACUUAGAGACGGUUUGAGAUUCAAGGAGUCUCCUUGACCUUCAGCAGCAGGAGUGCAGAGCUGUUUGGUUUCUAUAAUUAAGCAACAUAUUGCACAGCAACUAACUCAUGGCUGCUUGUUUGAUUCAAGGUCAGGACCCCAAAAGAGUAUCUGAUUGGCCCAGACAAUCUCUUAGGGUAUCUUAUACCUCUCCAACCAGCAUAAAGAAUGUUUACUAUUGGCUCAGGUACUUGGACUGAUGCCAAUCCUCUAGGGCCAGAAAAGAUGGGGUACUAGGUACCACAUGUGGCUUCCUGGGCCUGUCCCUUUAGUAGCAAAUGUGGGCAGGGUGGAUUCCCUCAAAGGAGGUUGUAGGUGGGUUGGCACAGUGCUGACCUUUUCAGAAUCCCACCUUGUGAGACACUGUGUGAGCCAAGUCGUGUGGUAGGCCAUCAAGGUAAGCUGAUGUUGUAUUGUCAAAGACGCAGGUGCAACUCAGAAAGACAGCUCCAAAGUGAUGUGCAUGCGAAAAACAUGAGGUGAAUCUCAUUAUUUAUUUGUGAUGUGCUUUAUCUAAGAGUGUUUAUUUUUCUGCUUGAUAAAUUCAGCUGUCAAAGCUCUGUGGCUUUCUCAGUCAGGGCUCCCAGUUUCCAUGAGCAGAUUGUACUCAGCACAAUUCCAACCAAUGCCAUUUGUAAAGAUUUCAAUGUGAAGACUAAAUCAAAGUCAUGCUAACUUUUGUAGUUGUCAGCCAGUUGAGGUUUUUCUUGUGAUUAAGCUGGUCAAAACUUGUUGAUUUGCAGUAACCACUGACUAAGUACCCACAGUCCUGUGGCCUACACCUUUUAACACACAUGGCGUAAAUAUCUACUUGACUUUUGAUGAUCCUUGUGGAAAAUAUACAAAGCCCACGUGCUGGUGGUCUCUCUUCCAAAGUCUAUACGGAGGCCUUGGAGAACAAGGGAUGUAUGAUGGGGGUAUUUUGAUCAGAAUGAGAAUUUAAGAAGCAAGGAAUGGGAUCCAGUGUAGAUACAUUGCUGGAAUGAUGAGAGGGUUGUGGGGUGUGCACUGGAGCUGCCCAGCAUAAAAGCAGAAUGUGUGACAAGCUGGGCCUAUAUUGCAAUUCUUAUGAACAAAAUCUCCCAGACAAAAAAAUAAAUGCCUUGAAUUCAAGGUAAGUGUUCCGCAUUUGUAUUAACUAUAGCAGAAACCACUUCUUCCCACUGCAGGUUCACAAUGCUCUUUACUCAUGCUUCUAUAUAAUCUGCACCAUCUUUUGACCACAUUAAAAAAAGUUCUUACUAUAACAUAAAUCAAAAAUGUUAUUAAAAUGGAGAGGCAGUCUCUAUAUGAUUCUUCUCUAUUUUGAAUGGAAAUUUCUUUUAAGGAAAGAUCAAUAUCUGAUUCAUCCUGGUGUUUCUGCCACGGCUUGGAACAUGCCAGGCAUUUAAUAAAUAUUUGUUGAAUGGAUGAGAGUAAGAACUUUAAUUGCCUUUUGAGUCACCAAAUUAACCGUGAUCCAAGUUGUCCUCUGUGCCAUAGCAGUAUAAUGUGGAGGAACAUCUUGAAGAGGAUCACUGACAAUUAGACACUAAUUUUAGUGUCAAGUUCAUUUAAAUUUUUCAAAUGCCUAAGCAUCAUCAAUAUAUCUUGCAGUGUGUGGAAGGGUAGACUGGCAUUGUUGGGCUCCCAGAACAAGGACAGAAUGCAUAAAGCCUACUAUGAAAGUUCUUUGAAUGAAACGUGGAAGGAAGGUGAAAAGAUGAGGAAAAAGAGGUCUUGGAGAAGAGGAUAAGCUGUUAUUUAAAUACUAGACCCUGUUAUAAGUACUUUACAUUUAUCUAGCUAGAGAGAAGAUGUGCUUCUCCCAGAUUAUAGUCAAGUCUGGGGCAGAACAGAGCAGGGCGUUUUUGAAUUCGAUCUACGAGAGUCCACUCCUGGACCUCCCUUUCCCUUGGGUCUCCUUCCCUUUGGGAUCUUUUGUCUUUUGUGAAGAAGAAUGGUCAAAGCUGGGGCAAUUAUUGUUUUUGGUUUCAACUUUGAGGCCAAUAUUGGUUCUGCACUGGCCUCUUUAUGGUAAGCCUCAAUUAAUGCAUUCUUCAGCAUAAAGUGUCAGUAAGAUGGGCAAAUCCAUUUGUUGCUGAUAGUCAGGGCUUCUGAGAUCAUAACUCUGGUACAGUGUUUUCCAAAAUAAUAAAACUUGUCUUCAAAGUGUGAGAAGGAGAGAUGAUGGGACAGAGGGUCAGACAACCUGGUCAGGUCAUGCUUGUCUGUGUGACCACUCUAACCCCUGUGUCUGCUUGAGCUACCUCAUUUCCCUGUGCUGGCAGAAGAGGUUCACUGCUUGGAAUCUCCUUUGUCUUUUAAAUAGAUCACAAUUCCCACUUCCCAGCAGGGUUCCCUAUUUCCCACCUGUUUGUUUUGUUUUUGUUUUUUGGUACCUGGGGCUGAACUCAGGACCUUAUACUUCCCAGGCAGGUGCUUACACACUGAGCUAACUAUCUGGCCCUCCUCACUUGUUUUUAUUGUUGAGAUAUUUUUGGUUGUUAAUAAAGAGCAUCUUUAUACUAGAAGUUGGAGGCCAUGUCUGAGACAAAGAAGUCCAGCAAUGGCAGGAAGACUAGGCCUGUUCCUAGCAGACUGAAAGUCUUUCUUCCAGGAACUUAGGUAUCCUGUAUCCAAACUGCCACAGAAUAGCAGAAAUCAUGCAGAAAUUUUUAAUAUUUGGCCAAAAAGGAUAAUUGAAGCGCAUCCAGAGUUUUGGUUAUUUUUUAAUGUCUGUGUGUAUGCCUCAGUGAGUCCAUAUACACUGGCGCUCAAUGAAUAUUUGUGGAUUGAAUGAAUAAAUGAACAAAUAGCAAAAGCCUAGAAAGAGGUAUCAAUCAUAAAUGUUGAAAGUAAUUACUAUUUCUUUAAAUAAUUGCAUGUUCUCAUUUUUCUAUUAUAUACAUGAAUUAGUUUUAUAAUAGUUUAAAAAACAUAGCCUAAAAUUUCUGAGAAAUUACUGAUUUGACGCUGAAGUGAAUCUUAAGAUAGGACUGGGUUUUCCAGCUGUAUUAUUGCUAACCUCAGCUUUAUUGUGUGGAUUAUAGCUACAGCCCCGUGGGUAACUUCCUGGAAGAAUGGAACUUUUCAGAAUCGGGAUCAAGUCAGUAGUUUCUAGCCAAAGCAGGAAGUAACUACUUUAUUCUUUAAGCAAAAGGAUUUUUAAAAUCACAAGAUGUUAGACGUUAUCUUGCCCAGUUUUCUUAGUUUUUAGGUAAAGAACCAGUAAAGAGAGAAAGUAACUGAGUUACUCAGUGAUAAGAUCAGCACCAGAAUCCAGGUCUUCCAGCUGUCCGCACAUUUCCCCAUUCCACAUCACACCAGUUACAGACCUGGAAAGAAACUCAAUUGUCUGGUGACACACUCAGUGGGGUAACUGAGGCAAAUUUCUUUAAGAAAGUCUUGACCACAGUGAGGAAGACCAGGAGUUGAGGUGCCAAGUCAGGCACAUCGGGGCUGUGACUGGACCUCAGCCUGGGGGUGCAAGCAUAGGAGAAAUUGUGGAAUCCAGCCCAAAUGGAUGUACCCAAAGGUGGCUGGCUGGCAGGGACUAGGACUCUCAGAAGAGGAUCAAAAAUCUCCAGUGACUCAGCAACAGAAGCCGCCAGUGGAGGAGUAAGUCAUCCAGCCUUAUUGUCUCCCCAACUGGAAGUUGCUAGAGUUCACCAAGGUUGGGUCUCAGGGCACAGAGCAGAGGCAGAGGGUGGAGAGAGGAUCAGAGGGAUACACUCGCCUUCCAGAAGAGAAAGUCAGUCCUGCCUCACUUUAGCUUCUGGUCGCUAUUUAUGUGGACAAUAGAGGUUACACUGAAAACAAAAACUUAUUAUAAAAUAAUACACAUUUACAAUAGAAAAGUGGAAACAUGAAAUUAAAGAACUAAUUAUUCUUUCAAUAUAUAUCAUUGAUAUCUUUCUAGACUUUUACAAAUCAUUCAUUUAUUUAUUCAUUCACUUAUUCCUGCCAAUGAAUGUCUCACUAUUUCAGACACGGAGAUGGGAGUAAACAAGGUCCUUAAACAUGCCUUCCCUCAAGAAGUAUACACAAUAGUGGGGAAGGAAGACUCAUGGUAAAUAAUCACAAUGUUAGAAUGUGAGACAGUGGUCAAGCUGUAAGAAGAAAAGAAAUCAGGGGAAAUGAAUAAGAGCUCCAUGAGGGGGUAUUUAAUUUUAAAUAAGGUGGCCAGAAUGUGUGUGUGUGUGUGUGUGUGUGUGUGUGUUUGUGUGUGUGACAGAGAGAAUGAGAGGGAGGAAGACAGACAGAGAGACAGAAAGACAGACAGCAUAAGCAAUGGCAUCUUUGUAGGGCUUUUCCUCGGCUAAUGGCUAAGUGUCAGCUAAUAAGGAGAGUAGGUGGUGUGACUUCCCCUCUCCCUCGCAGUUUCAAAAUGUCUCUCUUUAGAUUUUUUAAAGGGCAAAGCUUUCUCCACUCCUUAUCUUAACCAUUAAAGAAGUGCAAUGGGGCCCAAGUUUAUUAGCCAAAUGCUCCUGUGUAUCUGUCCCUUUUUAGCUGGGUGACUUGGAGGAAGUCAUUUAACCUCCUCAGCCCCAGGCUCCUCAUGUGUGAAAAUGUGAUUAUACUUGCUAGUGACCUAGUGCCCAGCAUACCAUUGAUAUUGCAUUGAUGGUAACGUUGUUCCUUCCUGGCCAGCCAUGUUCUGGUCAAAAGACAGACCAGAGGUUCCUGGGAUCACGGAGUUGUCUGAACAGUCUGUUAAUAGCAGCUGGCAUCCACAAACCAUGUGCUAUGCAAACCCCCUUACAUGUGUUAUCUCAACAAACCCUCACAUUGUAAAAUGAGGAAAUGGGAGUAUAGAGCUCUUUGCAAGCUGAGUGGUAGGUGACAGAAGCCGUCAAGGCUGAAUUGGCCAGCAUAUAGGAAGGGAAGGGCUUUCUCCUAGUGAUAUCCAGGCUGCCAGGUAAAGGAGCGUUAUUAUUAUUAUGAAAUAACUUCUUCAUAAAAUCCCUCUAGUGCAGUGGUUCUUCAGAUAGGGUGCUGGGCUGAUUGCCUGUGGAUCACUUGGGUAGAUUUUUUUCUUUUUAAAAGUACAAAUGCCUGUUGAAAUUCUAGUUGAGUAGGCCUGGGGUAAGCCAUAUGUCUGCAUUUUUAACCUGGCCCCAAGUUUGUGUGUUGUGCAGUCAGUUUUGGUCAACAGCUCCUUGGGGUCCAAAGCACUAGGACACCAAGGUAAUCUCUCUUCCAAUGGCACCUGAGGUCAUGAGUUAGCACUUUCCCAGUGGUGUAAGUGUGAGGGGUAAUCUAACCUAUGUAUGUUUCAUCUGAAUCUUUGAUAAAACUAAUGGAGUAUAAAAAGGUUACAUUGCCUUGAAACGUUAAUAUAUUUCAAUCCCCCGGUCAGUGUUCUCUGGCCUUGGAAGAUCAGUCCACAUUCUCUGAGAGUGAAUUUAUUCUUUUAAGAAAAUGGCCUUUUUAACAUUUCCCAAUAUACAUGAUAUCUAUGUUACUGUGUUAUUAUAUUGUUGCUUAUGACUUUAGACUCAGUGUGAAACCCUUCAUUUAGCUUUUUUCUGCAAUUUUAUUUGCAUGUGACUUUAUUUGCCUGAAGUCAUAUGUAAUAAAAAUCAAUGCAUUCAGAAGUUAUGUCAAUAUCACCUUGAAGAAUCAUUCUUUGUUUAGUGAUAGUUUCAGAAGUAAAUAUAUUUACACCUAUGCUAUAGCUUUCAUAACAGUGUGUUUCAGAUAUGCUGUUCUGUGCAUGCAAAGUUUCAGUCUUCAUCACUUAGUAACUUUCCUUUGUUAUGAUCAACAAAUUUACAUACUCUUUUUGUCAUGUUAUAGAUUAUGAUUUUAUGCUAUUGUUUUACUCAUUAAAGGAUAUAUAACAUGUAUUGAGGAAUAAUAAACAUAGUUACAAUUGAGCACAUUUAUCCCAGGCAAUAUUUUCUAAAUGUCACAUGUGUAUUAACUUAUUAAACUACAUUUUAAAUGAUAGCAUUAAGAUACAAUUAUUAUUCAGUGUUUGGCUUUAACCACUUUGCUUUUCUUCCUCAAAUAUCAUCUCAAAUUUUGUAACUCAAAAGAAGGCCAGUUUUUUUCCUCUCUUUGAAAAAAGAUUUCUAGUAUAUUAGUAAAAUACUUUUUCAUGGCUCUUCUGGUUCUCUAACUUAGCUGGAACUAGGACUGUUUGAGUUGGUCUUUUUGGUUAAGAUAGGAAAAUUUUAAGCAAUGAAAUAGAUUCAUAGUGGGCUUUGAAGAUGAUAGUUAGUGAAUCAUUCAUUUGUUCACUUUCAGAGCAAGAAUUUAUUGAGUGCUUACUACAUGCCAUGUAUUGUGGAAGGCAUUAAGGAUACAGGGAUCAGUAACUCAGAUUCAGAUUCUACUCUACACCUGCAUUUUUUAUCAGAAUAGUUCAUAUUCUAUGAUUUGGUUUGGAUCCAAGAGUUUUGGUGGCACAAAAUCCAUAUCAGCAUUGAACCCUCUACCCCCAUUCUCAGAAGACUCUUUCCACUAAACAGAUGCUUUGAAACUCAUUCUUUUGAAUUCUCCAGUCCUCCAGAGACAGAGGGGAUUUACCUGGAGACAAAGAUGGUUAUCUGGCUUAGUGCAGACAUAACUUAAAUGGCCACAUGAUGCUCUCGCCCAGCUCAGGGGUUAUGGCCUUCUAUUGGAUAUUCUUUCUUUCAACUGUGCAAAAGAUUCUAGUCUUGUGAUUUCUCUGAAAAACAGAUGUUUAAAUACUUGGCCUCUCCUUCUUCCUUCUAAUUUACCCUUUAGCUCAGUGCUUGCAACCUGAUUUUGGAGGGGCCAAUUCCUGUAAAUUAAUGUCCUACUUAGGCUCUGAUCUAAAUGUGGGUUAGAUUUCCAGUGAGCAUGGAAAUAGUUGGGUAGUGGAGGAAACAAAACCUCAGAGCAGCCAGAACUGCAGAGGUGCAGGCUGUGCACCAGAGCCCAAGCAGGAUGCUCUGGCAAACAGACCUUGAGGGCCACUAUGGUCAUUUCUCACUGCUGUUCUAAUGGAUCCCCACCAGCUCAGAUGGUAAAACACACAAUUAUCAUCUUACAGUGUUGAAGGCAGUUAGUUCAAAAUGUGCCUCAAUAUACUAAAAACCAAGGUUUCAGCAGGCUGUUUUCUCUGGAAGUUUUAGAGGACGAAUCCUCCCCCACCCCCCGCCAGGUUCUGGAUUCCACUGUCUCCAUUCCUUGGCUUGUGGUCCCCUUCCAUCUUCAGGUCCUCAAUGGUCGACAAAUCUUUCUCAUAUCAACUUACUCUGCCACUGAUUGUUCUAUAUUCCUUUCACUUGUAAGAACCCAAAAUAAUGACAUUUGGCUGACCUAAUAAUCUAGAACAAUCUCCAUAUCUCAAGAUCAGUUGACCAUAUCUGUAAUUCCACCAGUAGUAGUGCUAUUUCCCCCCUCCCAUGUGUUAUAUUCCACAAUUCUGAGGAUGGAGACAUUUUUAUGCCUUCCCCACUUAGGCUCAAUUAUAUAUGUUCUCCAUUCACAGUAAUAUCCACAGUGUUCCAGCUGCUACAAGUAGGAAGCCUUCUGAGUGGCAGACAACUGUUAACAAUAGGAAAGGAGGACUGGGAGCUGACAUCAGCAGAAGAGCUUUAAAACUCAAAUAUCACUGACAAAUGAGAAAAUCACAGGUCACAGGCAAUGGCGAGAAUCAUGCCAGCCAGACACUGGUGGUCUCCAGGCUCUUCUGUUUUGAUGUACAAAACUUUCAGCACUGUUCAAAUCUGUGACCCUGAGUCAUUAAGAAAAUGUUUAAUUCAGUUUAAAAAUCAAUGACCAACUAUAUUUCUUUAAAAAGGGUUUAAAAAUUAAACUAUAUCAAGAAGAAAUUCAGUAAAUAUUCAUCAGAAAUUCUGAAAGGGAAGGGAUUUUCUGAACACAAAAACAACAGAGGAUACUUUUAAGGAGAGAAUUAUAUUUUGUGUAAAUAGACAUUAAGACUGAUAUAUUGAAACCACAGGCGGUGAAUACUUGUAAUCUCAGCACUCCGGGAGAGCUGAAGUAGGAUGAUCAGAAGUUCAAGCCCACCCCAGGCAAUGUUGCGACCUAGUAAGACCCUGCCUCAAAAUAAAAAAUAAAAAAGCAGGGAAUGUAAAGUUUAAUCAUCACUACUGCAAAAAGGAAAGAAAAAUUAUAAAAUCAUUUGAACACAUAAAUAGCAAGUUCUAAAAAUUGUCACAAAUAAGAAAUUCAGUAACAAUAAUAGGCUUCCUACAGAUCAGUGAAUAAACUCUUAAAGCUGUGAUAGAAAAUGGAAAUAUUAUAUGUAAACAAUCUAUAGGAGAAAAAACACAGGUGACAAAUUACUACAUAUAAAUGUUUAAAUUCAAUGAUAAAAAGUGAAAUAAUUACAAGAUGGUGGUUUUAACAUCAAAUUAACACACAUUUUUAAAAAGUGAUGAUAUUUUAUUUUGGUGAGAAUAUGGUAAAAUACCCUUUCAUAAGCUCAUGAAAAUAUAUAUUAUAUUUUAUAUAUUUAUGAUACCAGUAUUCUGAAAGGCAACUUGAUAUAUUUCAAGAUCUCACAAAUCUUUAUAUGCUUUGACACAUUGAUUCCACUUAUAGAUAUCUACUUAAAAGAAGUAGAAAAGUGACAAAGAUUUCUGCAAAAGAAAAUUCAUACUUAUUUAUAGCAAAAGCAACUAAUUCAUCUUAUAAAUGUAAUGGUUAAAUGAAGUAUGACACAUUUAUAUUAUAGGCCAUAAUAAGCCAUUAAAAUAAGCUUUGAAGAAUGUUUGAUGCUAUAUAAUCUAUUAAGUAAAUUACAGCAUUAUAUUAUAUUUCAGCACAAAUUUUUGCAGAAUCACUUGGAAGUCAAUCACUUCAAAUAUUAACAGAUUUAUGGGUUUGCUGUGUUUAGUUUUUUCUAACAUUUUCAGUCUUAGACAAAGAAGCAUGAACAUACUUUUAGACUCAGAAAUGUACUUUUUAAUUUUUAAUAAAAUAGAGAAAUGUUACAGAAAAUUUUCAGGUAAAGUGGUUCAACUGUGUUGUUUCUGAAAGCUUCAGUGAUGGAGAUAGUCCAUCUACAUGAAGUCUUAUCUCCCAAACAAGUGGAUAAGACAGUGCCAAAUUUGGAAAUACUGGCUUCCUUUAAUAAAAGGUAAAUCUUUAGGCUCAUACAAUUUAACUAAAUGUUUGGUUUAUGACAGUGUUUUCCAAAGAGUGUUUCAGAAGAGUUCUUUAGCUGCAUAGCGAAAAAAAAUUCUUACAGGUCAAAUAAAAGCAGGAACAACUGUUUCUCUAUUCAUUUCCUGGAGUUACAAUUCAAAUUAGCAUUUUCUAGCCUCUGAAAAGCCCUGCAAUAGUGAAAGCUACUUUGUUUUUUAAGCCAGGAUUUCCCAAAGUCGUACACUUCAGAAUUCUAUUGGGUAACUGCCAACAUCAUCCCCUACGCCUGUUUCCUAGAUAUGUCGUGCUGUGGAAAGCCAUAGGAUGAAGCAAAACUCUGCUCGCUGAUUUUGGUUCACAACUUUGUAGACCAUGAAGCUAGAAUAUGUGAGCCUGGUUUCAGCAAAUUCUAGCCUAGGGGAUGGUAAAGUCAUGCAGGACAAGCUUGAGGACUUGUAUGGUGGUGACACACCUGGGAAGAGCUCAAGUUCUUUUUCAAGUUAUCAGGUUCCUUUCUCCCACAGUCCACUGGCCUUAUCCAGGUAGCACCUCCUGGUCUCAAGUGCCCUAGGAUGUGACGACUUGGCUAUUCAAGUAAACUGCACCCAAUAAGGAUGGGGCUUUCUAAGAUUUUCACAAGAGGCUGCUUCUUCAACAUCUUGCUCCAGACUGGAGAAGGAUGUGCAGUCCCUUAGUCACACCUGUUAAAUCUGGGAGCACAUAAAGGCAGAGUUCAUUGCUUGAAAGUAAACUUUGCAUUAGAAGAUACUGCACACCCUCAAGUAUCUCAAGUAUCCCGAGAAUAAUGCAGGUGAAUUUUUGCUUAACAGGAUGAGUUACUCAUGAGUGUCUUCUCUUUGUGUGGUUUUUUUUGUCUUUUUUUUUUUUUUUUGUCCUCUCUAUCUAAGGUUCUUUUGGUCAGUUAGAACUCUUUUGGGUUUAUCUUAAGUUCAGGAUCCUGGAUCGUGUUGGGAACUGAAGGAGACAUGCUAUGAUUUUUAGGUUCACCCAAGUGAAACUACAUCUGGCCUAUGCUGACAUUCUCAGUGAGAAUCUUUUAAGUGUACACCCAGAGCCUCUGCUUGUCCUCUCUCGUCUACUACCCUCUUUCUUAGGAAAAAGUAGAAAUGGGAAGGACAAGGGAAAGAAUCUAGUAAGAAAAGUGUAUCAUUCUACUUAGAUUUACAAAUUACCCAAUGGGUAAUCUCAUCCAGUGUUUUUAGAUAUCUAAGUUUAAAGAACAAAGAGGUGUGUAAGGGGCCUCCAGAUACAUAUUUCUCAUUUGCUCUGCAGAACCUUCUACUCUUUUUUAUAUCGAGGGUGCAGGUAAGAUGGUGUUUGCAAACUUUUUCUGCUGGUGAAAGAAAUAUUUGGAAAGCAGCGGAUCUAGUCCAACACUGUGCAGGCCUUUUUCCGCAAUAGUCAUGCAGCUUUUUCUCAGAUCCUUCUAGUGAUAAGAUGCUCAUUACCAGCCCAUAUUUGGUUGUGUGCUGCAUGGAAAUCUGCUUCCUUGGGUCCUCUGCCCAUUUGUCCCAGUUCUGCUUUCUGGGAGCAAACAAAAAUAGCUCAAAUCAAUCUCCAAUUUUUAGCUCCACCAUGGCAGGGACUUUGUUAGCGUAGUUCUUUAAUGUAUCUCUGGGGCAAUUCCUGUCACAUGGUAGGAGCUUAAUAAAUAUCCAUUGAAUAACUGAAUAAAAAAUGGAUGAUGACUUUCAUGUGUCCAUUGUAAAAUUACCAUGUAACUUGAGCCUUCAAAUUUUGCACAUCUGAAGACUCAUCAGGCAACUUUUUCAUUCUUCUACAACUUGGGACCUCUCUGUCAAGGGAGUCCUGGUGGAGUAGAAGUAUACUGAGGAUUUUGGGGUGUGGGCCAAGAGCCUUUGUAGUUUUACUCUGCCUAGUACUUCCAAAAAAUGCUUCUAAAUAAGCAAUAUACAAAACAGCCUGAUAAUCACAAUGAACUCUGCCAGUCUUUCACCAAAGACAGAGCUACAACCCAGGCGUGAGGGGUUGUGUUCAUGCCUUGGCAUCUGCAGUGAUUGUCAAUGUAACAGAACUGGACAGGCACUAGGAAGACCCACUGGCUUCUGUGAUAAGGUAGAAACUUCACCAUUAGAGUCAUUCUCUUGGGUAAAGUAUGAAUACUGGUCACGCUGAGUCUCUAAUACCUCAGCGGGAAUAUGCUGCCUGCUUGUUUUCUUUAAGGGCAAGAGAUUCUAAGAAUGCUGGAUUAUGGGACAAACCAUGUCUUAGCAACAGAAGAGGCAGAGUCAAGUGGGCUAGAGGGCUGGCUACAUCAUGCCUAAGUGGAUAAAUAUCCAGGAUCUCCAAAACCAUUCCGCUUUGAAAAAGGCCAUCUAGGGAGGAGGAGAUGAGUCUGGCUCUACAUAAACUCUGAAAGGGUGAGUUCUCCACCACUGCUAUUGUGAAUCUUCCACAUGAGUGAGAUGUAAUAGGAACUGUGUCAAAUACUUUGGAAGGUAGGUGCUACACGUACCUAAAUGACAGUGGAGUGCUGGGGAAGGUGUCCCUGCUGGCCUGGAGCCAUCUUCUCACCACAGAAGGGAGAAACCAAUCCCUGACAAGCAAGCGGCUGAUCCUUGACCAUGUGAUGAAGUGUUGCUUCCUGGCCAGGAUGUUUAUAGUUCUUAAGAAGUUCUUUCCCAAUCAGAGUGAGUGACUGCUUUAGAAAAUGAAGCCUGUGUUUUCUUCCUCUGUGUAUGCUCCCUGCUUCCCUUCACUUCCCUCAAAUGACACAGCCCACCCUAGGGUGAGUGUAGCAGUGUCCCAUGGGGGAGGCAGAGAGGGGGCCAUUGGAGAAAUGCAGUUUAUUUGUCCUUCCUUUUUGGAUAUAGUGUUGCAGGGAGUUCUUCCACUGUCCUCCCAGCCAAAUGCUGCUUUUAUUUUUUUAACCUUUCCUUCUAGAUAAUGCAACUAAGACCGUUAUCCUUGUGGGGGUGUGUUUACUAUUCUGAGAUCACAUUAACAUUACUCAUUUAACAUCUGCAGUGUUUUGAAACUGAAAUGUCUUACCAUAUCCCAGAGUGGGAUUUUUGUCUCUGACUGAUGCUUUGAUUGAUAAAGACAGUCCAAGACCAUGACCUUUAAGAUGCACAAUCUGGGGGAGUUUGGGGUCUGGGCAAAAGGGGGCAAAAGCACCCCCGAUCAGCAGGGUCACCAUUAACUACAGCUCAGCAAAUGAUACUGCAUGUUUUAUCAUCGGCUGGGUGCUUUUUCAUAAGCACAAAGCUCGAGAAGCUGUUAGACUGAGCAACUGAGACUAAAACUAAAGCCAGUGGGCUCUUGGUCCCAGCCGAUUUGAGGCACUGGGUGCUCUGUUCCCUGCCUGCUAUAGGCAGGACCUGUGCACAGACAAGGUUGAGGGUAAGGACAGAGAGGUGACCAUCUUCAACCCUCAAGAGUUCUCAGUCUAGCAGAGACAGACAUGUAAAUAGUGUGGUAGAUACCUUGCCAAGAUAUACUGUGGUGUAUUAGAAAAAGUAGUCACUCUCUAAGAAGGGGUGGAAGAGUAGGGGUUGGAGGAAGGUAGGAAGAUGAAAGAGAAUGCUCAGACUGGGCCUGGCAAAAUACUGCAUACUGUCUAGGCUGGAAUGAAAUGCAAAAGGAAAUGAACUUUUUUUGGCUCUGACAAUAUACAAAGAGGGAAAGGGGACAAGUAGAGAUGCAGUACAGAUCGCAGAGCUGCUUGAGGGCCUGCAGAGAGUUUCUGUUCUACCAGGCAGGCAAGGGGAGUUAUUGCACAGAUUUUAAGUAAGACAGUGGGUUCUUAGCAGACUUUCAUUUCAGAAAAGUCACUUGGCUCCCUGUAGAGAGAAUAUGUCUAAGGGUGAUGAGACAGAAGGCUACAUAAGUAGUUGGGUAUCUGUUAAAAUAAUUCAAGAAAGGUCUGAGGGUUACAACCAAGCUAGAGGCAGUGUGGAAGGAUGAGAAAAGUAGUGAAUGCCUGUGACUUGGUGGACACGGAGUAGAGUGAGGACACUGAGAGGUCAUGGAACAUGGUACGCCUAACGAUGCCACCUGGGAUUCUGGUUUGAGUCUCUCUAGAUGAUACAGAAAAAAGGGGAUAGAUACCUGAAAUUGGGGAUAGUACAAAAUCCUAUAGUUGAUAUGAUUUCUUCUUAUAUAGACACACAAAUUUAAUGUCUUUUCAGCUUAUUAAGCUCUUCCAUUCGCCAUAGCCAUAAUAUUUGCAGUGUGAGGUGAAACACAGGACUAGCACAAAUUUCUUUUUCUUUCUUCACCAUUUCACAGAUAGCUUUGUUCUUACCUUGGAACUUAGCAACCUUAGUGUAGAAAUUUUUUUCUACUAAAUUGAGAAGUUUCAACUUUUUCACUUAAGGAAGCAUUUUAGGUGUUCUUUUUGGCAUAUUUGAAUUACCAGUCUCACUAUACCUGCACUUGGACACAUUAUUAAGCCAGAUAAAUGUUACUUGAACACAGCCACUGAGAUACGGCACUAUCUAGUCUGAUACCCAAGACACCUACUAAGUGUCUAACAAACAGGUAGCAUAUGUGGCAUGGACCCACUGGACAAAGGGCUAAGUCACAUUUUGGAGGGACAGAGGUAGAAUAAAAGAUUGCACUGUAUAACUCAGAAUGGUAUGAAAUUUAAAAUGUAUGAAUUAUUGUUUCUAUAAUUUUUGUAUGUAACAUUUUCAGACUGCAGUUGACUGUGGGUAACCCCGAAAGCAAAGCUGCAGAUGGGGGGGUGGAUUAUUGUAUGCAGUUGGUUAUGUGAUUUGACACUCAAAAGAUAAGCCAAGGAUGAGGAGAAACAUAUGAGAGUUGCUUCUAUGUAGGUGGUAGUUAAAUCCAUGACAGAAGAUGGCCGUGCCCUAUAAGAAGGACAGAAGGCUAACCAUAAGUUUUUUUUUUAACUGAUCAUUUUUAAAAGCAGCUAAAAGAGAGACCACAAGGGAGCCCGAGAAGGAGGAGGCAGGGAAGAGCAUCUCUAAGAAGAAGAGACUGGACUAUAGAUAGCAUCAUUUGCCUCAGGGAGACCCAGGAGGCAGCACUUGAAGGAAAGGCAAUCUGGGUCUUGACUGAGACCCUCUAGGUUGAGGUGGUGGGCAUGGAGGUCACUUUAGAGCCAGUGGAAAGCACAAGAGUGGGGAUUGGAGAGGGUGCAUUCAGAAGGCUACCCUAAGGAGCCAAGGAAAAAGUGUCACCAGAAUAUUCAGGACAACUGAUUUUGUCAGAAAGUCUUUUUACAACAGGAAAAAGAGAUUAGCUUGAUAGAACAAAAAGGUGGUUUUGUGUGUGUGUGUGUGUUUUGUUUUUACCAGUACCAGUGAUCAAACUCGCAACUGCCUGCUUGCAAGGCAGGUGCUUAUGCCGCUGAGCUAAAUCCCCAGCCCUAAAAAGGUGGGUUUUUAAAACUACUGAGAACCUUGGAUUGUGCCCUAGGCUCUGGGUAUGGUGUUUUUCAAUUACUUGUUAUUUAAUCUUCUCCAUAGUGGAGCUGCCAUUCUCCUCUCCCUGUCCAGAUUCCGUCUCUUUUGUACCUGAACUCACACCUUGAAGGCAUUUGAGGUCUAGCUACACUUUUAGAAAGCCUUUUUGAAAGGUGUUGAAAGAUCAAGACUAACACUAAUAAAUAAUAAAUAUUAGAUAGUAAUAAGUAAAGUUAUUAAAAACUGCUAAAUAUUUGAAGAGGGCCUUAAACAACAGUGUUGCCAAAAUAGAAAUGGUGUAGACUCAUAGUCAUUUUAAAGUGAGCAAACCCAGAGACCCACAGUAACCAGAGUGUGCCUUGGGUGCCAGGUGCCCGUUGUAUACCGUUGACUUGUCAAGGUGUCAUUUUUAACAGCACAUCUUUAAUCCAGCCUCUUCUACCCCUAUGAUUGCAGAGUCAUAGUCACUGGUUUCAAAGCACUAACAGCACAGAUGAGUGAAAGUUCACAAUGCAGAUGUGACGGUCACAGCGGAGACACACCUUCCAGUGAGCUCGGGAGGUGGAAUGGAAGAAGUAAUGGGUGGAACACUUGUCAGGGUUUCCAGCUUCUCUAACUUGGAAGGAAUCAUUAGAUGAAUAAAUAGCAUACUCCCACUCACACCAGCAGAAGCCAGAAUGACCCAGUAAGUAGAUUGGAAGUAGUAACAGAAAUUUUAAGUGUUUCCGCAUUGAGUUUGUAACAGGGCUCAGGAUUGGAUGGGGCCCUAGACAAUUUGUGAAGCAAGUCAAACUUGGCUCCUCCUAGUUCUUCCAGUAUUUUUCUUCCUUCCUAGAAAACAGCUUCUGUAUUAGAAGAUCAGAGUAAGUGCCAGGCACAGCUAAGCCUGCUAAAGAUAUGUACUCAUUUGUAUUUUGCAGCCACCUUAUGGAAUAUAUACCACGAUUAUCUUCCUUUUACAGAAGAAACUGAAGUUUAGAGGAUUAGGUGACUUGUUAAAGACAUAUGUACUAAAUGGUGGCAAAGUCAGGAUUUUUAUCCAGCUGUCUGACUCUUCAUCUGUGCCUUUAAUCACUUAGCAAUGAGAUAUAGCCUUUAGGUUUUGUUGCUGGUCCUUCCAAAGAUUUUUAGGACUGGACAAUACUUUAGAAAUCUAAUAUAGCACAAGGCACAUCUCCUGCUUUGAUACAUAUGUCAGACAUAUUCUUCAAAACAUAUUAGUCCAUUUUAUGUUGCUGUAAUAUAAUAAUCAGAUACUGGGUACUUCAUCCAAAAACAAGGUUUAUUAAAAUUUGGAAUUUUGGAGGUUGAAAUUUCAAGAUCAAGUGGCCCCAUUUAUUCGGAUUUUGGUUAAGGCUGCCCUGGCUCUAUGACAACUUUCUGGUAGAGAACCAGAAAAAGAAGCAGCUCUCUACAGAAAAAGACAAACAUAUGGGUAGUCAUGCUUUAUAACAGCCUGCUCUCUUAAGAACUAUCCUGCUCUGCAAAACCAGUAUUGGUACCUUGCAAAGUCAGUGGCAUCAUGAUUUAAUUGCUUUUCACUAGACCUUUAAAGGUACCACCACUACACUAGAGCCCAAAUUCCACCAUAUGAGCCUCUGGGGAGCACACUCAAACUAUAUCCAAACCGUAGCAUAUAUGAAAAUCAAAAGUGUGGAUAUCAAGCAGUGUUGACUACUUGGUUGAGGGAUGGGAGGAUUUUCAGAGAUUUAAAAGAAUUAUAAAAAUACUUGCUAUCCUUUGCCUUUUGGAUACCAUAGAUGACAAUGCAAUCCUCAAAUUUAACUAUGCUCCUUUUCUUUGUAACUGAACACCCAAUCAACCUACCUUCCACUGAGCAUACAACUGAGGCUUAAGGCUUGCUAUUUUUAGUACACCUAAUGAUUUCUAUUUUUGUCUUAAUUUUAUUAAACUGAUGGGACCUCUCCAAUUACUUUUACUCAUAUCAGCAUUUUGUUUCUCUGUCUCCCACUCAUUUUUGAAAAUGCAAAAAAAUAUUCAGACAACGACUCGAAUCUCCCAUCACCAAAAUGAUGCUGCUGGUAAAACUGAGUGUCCAGUCAGUUUCACUAUGGAAAGCUCCCUGUGUAUUUUUGUCAGCUAAUGAACGAAUGUCUGAACUGAGUAUGUGAAAAACAAUUUAAUUAUAGGCAUAUAUAACGUAUCUGAGUUGUGGACUAUAAGCAGUUAAAUGUAUCAAAGUCAAGAUACAAAUAAAUCAGUUUGGCAAAUAUUUAAAGAGGGUUUACUCAGCCUUGUGGACACAAAGAAUGACCUACUACUCUCUGAUCCUUUUGAAAGGGUCAAUUCAUUUGCUCUAACUUUCUAGGUGGUCAUCGUAUAGCUCCUUCGCACUUAAAAUACAUUUAUGAAAAAUGUAUUAGGUGCUGGUAGCUGGUGCAGGAGAUGGACAGAGAAAUGUAGCAAUGAGUGGCAAAGAGCUUCCAGAGCAGUGAGGUGAAGACAGACACAUGGAUAAUUCCAUUCCAAUGCAGUGACUGCGGCUAUAAUAUAAACAGGAUGCUGAGGGAGCAUAUGGGAGGACUCCCGGACUAUCCAGAGAUUUGAAGAGGUUUCUUGGAAGAUUGUUGAAGCACUGUAGGAAUUAGCCACAAGCGGAGGAGAAAGGAUGUUUCAGAUACAGGGAGCAACAAGCAGAUGGCUUUGGGCUUGCAGUUCUGAAAAUAGAGCGAAGAGGAUGGAACAUGCUAAAUGCUGUAUGAAAUCUUCAGUUACUAUGAGAAGUGGAUCUUGCAUAAAUGCCUUCUCAUUCAUUCUUGAUUAAAGAAAUACUGAACUUACCUUGGGUUUCCUUCACAUACAACCAAAAUCACCUUACCCCUGGACUGGCAAACUGAAGAGCCUUUGAGUUGGUCUUGAUAAAAGGGAAACGUAGGUAAAUAUCACCAACUGAGAGGGCAGUUGAUCCCAGAGGUCAUAGAGCACAAGCACAAUUUCUAACGAGGCUUUAGAGACUGAAGAAGCUAAUUUCUCACAGACAUAGUCUUACCACAGGAGCAGGACUGUACCCACUCAGCAUUGGGACCAGCUUCCAUCUUUAAACACACACAUUCCCCUAGAAUACAAGAAGUAAAUUUAGAGUAAUCUUAUUAUGGCCUCCAGUGGUCUUUUACAUGAAAGGAAUAUUCGUAUUGGUCCUUUUCAAAAUGUAUAAGCUGUAGCUAAAAUUGCAUUAAAUCUAUCCUGCAUCCUGUCUGAUGUCGAUCCAGGACCUUCCAGUAAAGCCCCUCCUGUCACCUCUCCUGUCUCACUGUUCUCCACAUUUAGCAUUUCCGGCUUUCCACAGAACAGGCUCCAAAUGUAUCACUUCUGACCUUUUUUUAAAAACAUCCUUAUAGAGAAAUAAUUAUCAUACCACCCAGUUUACUUGAUUAAUGUGUAUAAUUCGCUGGCUUUUAAUAUAUUCAUGGAGUUGAACAUCUAUCAUCACAAUUUCAUUAUCUCCUCAAAACUCCAUCCCUCUGGGCUGAGGAUUUAGCUCAGUGGCACAAGCACCUGCCUGACAAGUAUGAGUUUGAUCCCUGGUACCAAAACAAAACAAAACAAAAACCAAAAACAACUCUAUCCCUCUUAUCCAGCACCCUCCAAUCUCUCAUGUCCCCUGGCCUUAGUAAUUACUAAUUUAUAGAUUUGCUUAUUCUGGACAUUUUAUCAAAAUGGAAUCAUACAAUAUGAAGUCUUUUGUGACUAGCUCUUUUCACUAUCUGCUUUUUGCUUAAUGAUCUAUCACUUGCUUAUUUGAUUUUAUCCUUGGACACCAAAUCUUGGUUUCAUGUACUCCGUAUCUCUGCCUCUAAACACCUGAAUAGUUACCUAGUUAGCCAGUCAUCAGAGCGCACAAACUGUACAGGUACAAGCAGAUAAGUAGGACAAAACAGGGCAUAUAAGACAGAUUAGACAGGUCUCGCUAGGCUUCUUCACUCUCUCUCUCUAGUUGACUUUCUGACACUUGCAAAGGCAUAGAUGAGGUGAGGUUAGAAAGCUGAAGCAAUCGUUCUUUGAAAUAUGUGACUUUAAGGGGAAUGACAUUUUCCUCCUGAAUUCCAGCAGAUAUUUCUACUUCACUGGCAUUUCUUUGGCCCAGGCUGGUGAGAAUCAGACAAGGCUGGCCGUUCUAGUGAGCUGCAUGGUCAGAUCAGGAAGUGUUUCUGGCCUGUGAUCAGAGACGUAAGGGAAGAGCAGAAAGAUGUAGCUCCACCAUCCAAUGUAGAGGGAGAGUUCAAGGAUUGCAUGUGAUUCUGGAUUGCCAAAAGAGAAAUGCAGCCCUUACAGAGUUUAUGUCACACAUCACAGCAGUUUACUGGUGUGAACUCACUGCACUGUGUUUUCUUGGGGAUCAUUUCAAUCAGACCCAUGAAUCCUCUUUACACAUACAUCUUCAAAAACCGGAAUGUAUUUUAUUGUCAUAAGGCAGAAGUUGCUUUUCUAACUACAGGUAGGAGGAAGAACAAUGUUCUUUUAAUGUCACAUUAGAGUAUUUCAUUAAAAGCAAGUGUAGACCACACCAGACACCAAAUGGUGGCAUAGAAUACCUUGACUUCUUUCAACCUCUUUCCCACUUCAGUUUGGUCAGGAAAUACACAAUGGACUUUAUGAUGGGACUGUGAGUUCAAACACCCCCAGAGUUCAGCUUGGGCAGAGAAGGAAUCAGGAGGAGGAACUGUUCAUCAGUACACAUCUUCACCCACGCGUCUAUAAUUACCAACAACGGUUGCAGCGCAACUCGAAAAACAUAAACACUCUGAGCUGGCUCAAACCCAGGGCUCUAUUUAUAGCCUCUAUGACCACUCAUAGCCUUAACACCCUCCUCGAAACAGACCCCAGAUUGGGAGCAGGGGCCAGGGACGUUCUCAGUUGUGACAUGGAGCAUAUGACUCUACCUCUUCUAUCUAGUAGUUCCAUCUAGUAGUUCCUCAUUUCACUAUAGUGUAGGCAUGAAAGAGCAUUAAAAGCAUCCAGCCAUUCUGACAGAGGUGCAUCUCAAAAUAAACAUUUUCCUGGGCAAGCCAGACAGGAACAUAGAGCCAGAGGACUUCCAACUCAGACUUAGAAAUUAUAGGGUUUAAUUGGGAGGCGUGACAGUGGCACAUCAUCAUUGCUUGUAUGCUUCACUUGAACUGUGUUUGUUCAGGCAAGACAGGAAGUGGUCACGAGGAAGUAUGACACAGUGGAAAAAGCAGGGGCUGGGGAGGCAGACAGUGCCACGUUCAGCUGGGUAAUCUUGAACACGUUUCUUGACCUCUUUGAACCUCGGUUUUCUCUUCUGUAAAAUGGGAAUACUAAAAAUACUCCUCUCGUAGGGGGCUUUUAGAAUAAUAGAUAGCAUACAGAUACAGAUGGGCUUUUACAUUAUUGCCAUUUUUAUUGUGGUCUGGGGAUUAAACCUGGAGCCAUCACAGUGAAUUACACUGUUAUACUUUGUUUCUAGAUGUCCUCUCAAAGCCUCAUGUGGUCAGUUUUUUCAGAGGUGCUUGAAUUUAGAGUAUAUGAUUGAUUCAUGGUUCAAUGCUAGGAUUAAGGGUGUUGGAAUUAAGGCUGGAUCAAUCCAUUGAUUGGACUGACGCUGCCCAAUCUCUGUAGACUGUAUACAACAUAAAGGUUUGAAAGAGGCUGGUCUUGCUCUUCCCUGUUGCUUUUGCUGUCUUCCACUCCUGUGAACUGUUGAUCCUCUGCCAUGUGCCACCCUGCCUUGGAGCCAGGUGAUUAUGGACUGAAAUCUCCACAAACUGUGAGCUAAACCAACCUUUCCUCCUUUAACUUUGGGUGUUGAGUAUUUUGUCUCAACAAUGAGAAAAAAGUAAUUAAGACAUAUACCCUCAGCUUUUUUUUUUUUUGAAAUAAGGUCUCUCUAAAUUACUAAAUUUCACAGGCUGAACUUGAAUUUGAAAUUCUCCUGCUUCAGUCUCCCAGAGUGUGGAGUUUACAGGUUUGUGCUGCUGAACCUGGCUACAGUAUUGCUGUUAAUAAUGCAUUGCUAUAAACAGGAUUUUUGAAAGAUUUGACCAAUGUAACUCAUCGUAGAUAAAUUUUAUCACAUCUUUGAGGUAGUCCUUGUUAUUGAAAAACUCUAAACAAUUGAAAAAUAUUCCUAGAGAUUUUUUUAUUUAGUUGAUGUUACAUAUUUCAGAAAGUUUACAAUAGAUUAGCUUGCUCCAUAAUUCUGUAUUUUUAAUAUGGAAAGGUAAUUAUUUAUGUAUCAUAGUUGUAAAUUCUGUUUCUUGCAUACUUUAAUAAGGAGCAGCCCAGACAGGAAAACAAACUCCUCCCUCUAUGUGAUGAUUCUUUCAAACUUCAGAAGAUUGAGAUCAGGGUUUUUCCACUCUUCUUCCUAGGGGAUCAUUUUUUACUCUCUCUCCCCAGCCACAGAAAAACUCUUGAUGUCCUAGCCAGUUGAAUUCUUUUUAACUUCUUUUUUAUUUUGAAUAUAGCUAGUAGUUCCUCAUCUUUCUUUUUCUUUGGAGCUGCCUUUGAUUCUCCAAACAGGAACUGAAUCCAAGUGUGUAAACUACCUGUAACUUCAUUUUUCCCUCUGUCCCUCAGUGACUUUGAAACUACUUCCUUUGCCUAAGAGAAUCUUGAUGCAUGUUUCAGGAAUAAAGAUCUCAUUUUGCUUUAUAUUUAUUCAAGAUAAAAAUAGUUUGGAGGUAAAUCUACAGUAGACGAAUCAUAUAGAACAACCCAAAGGAAGUACUAUCUAGCUCUGGCUUCCUGUUUGAGGACAGAUGAUCAUCCUUGUGUACUGAAAACAUCAUACACAUUUUCAUAUGGAUAUACAUGAAACUUCUGGAUAUGAAGUCUUAUGGUACAAUCACUACACUGGGACCAAAUUGACAUUUACUUGAUUGUUCUUUUUCCAAGUUGACCCUGUAAAUGAUAAUGAUAAUAAUUAUAACAACAUCAAUAGCAACAACACUCAUAACUUCCUUGUUACUUCUUAGGCACCAUGUUAAAGUGUAUGUUUUCAAUAUAAAAAUUCUGUAAUGUGUUGUUAUACUACUUACAGAUAAGAAAAAUCAAAGCCUUGAGAAUUGAAGCAAUCUUGCUUAGGGUCCCUGGGUAAGUAACUGGCUAAUAUGAGAUCCGAGUUCUAAUUGUCUAAACCCAAAGUCUAAGCAGCUGGAUUCUGAUCAGCUGCUGUUCAGCUAUUUGAAGCAAGGAUGAUUCAGACAGGAAAAGCAGGAGGAAUGCCAUAGGCGUGAACCCCAAAACACUUGUCAGUACCUUGCCCAGCUGGAACCAAGGCAAAGGCACCAAGGUUGGAGGUUGGUAUGUCAUCAGAGAGUCUCUUAUGCAAAUAUGAGAGACACAGCUCAGAGAACAAGUCUAGAGAGAACUCAGUGAUAAAAGGACAAAAUGAAAAGAUUAAUCCAUUUUCCCACAGCACAGAGUUGCACACACCUAUGACAAAGCUUCAGUGUCAUCUUGUACACCUAGAGACAUCCAUUUGCAGACCAUAGAGAGGUCACUGAAAUUCUGUCUUACUUGUCUUUAAAGCCCUGUUCACCAGCUUACACUGGACCACAGCAUGUAUCUGAUGUACUGUGAUGUAUGUGCCUUUGUACAUUAGGUUCAAAACAAUAUUUUGUGAAUUAAAUUAUAUUUAAGAUGAGCUUGGGUCCAUAAUAACAUUAGUUUAAAAAUGUACAAUGUUAUAUAAAAAUAUAAUAAGUCGUAGUUAAUUAUUUUGUAAUAUGAAUACUGAAAAUUAAUUUUCAAUCCUUUUUUAAUUUUCUGAGACAUCAAGUAUUUUCUGUUCAUCUCCAAUAGAUUUUAGUAUCUAUCUUGAACAUACUAUAAUCAUAUACAGGAAGGACAGACAUCCCUAUGAUAAUAAUUGAUAUUUUUAUGCCUUUCCUAUUUUUAUUCUCUUUCACAUACAUUCUUAUAUCUCAUGUGAAUUAAGCAGUUCAAACUAAUACAACUGGUGUAUUUCACAGAUUAAGAAAUUGACCCUGGUUACCACUUUUUUGAUAAAGGAAUAAAACUGAUGCUUAGAAAAAAAUAGCUUCAUCAAAGUCACACAGCUAAGAAAUGGUCAAGUCAGAUACAUUUUAUUCAAGCUAGCAUUAUGAAAUCAGGAUUUUAAUGCACAUUUAAAAAAUCUAGCAUAUCAUGAAACUUUCAGAAGCUCUAAACACUGGAUGAUUUUUGAGCUAUUUUGAGGGGAAUGAUAAUUGACAUUUAAAGAUAUCAUGUCUCUUAGCAACUAAACGAGUUUCAUGGAGUUCAUUUUAUCUUCAACAAGAUUCACACCCUGAACCAGGCUGACAUUAAACUGUUGCCCUCCCUAAAUUCUCAGGGGCCAUCGUGCGACAUAGCAUAUUUUUCUGUUCCUGAAGGGAAAGGGAGAGAGAGAAAAAAAGAGAUAAGUGACUAAUGUUCGUGUCAUCUACUAGAAAUGUAUAAAAAAUCCUUGGCCUUUCCUUGACCCUGAGCUGACCAGAGCAUACUCAAGCCGCUAGAGAGGCAGAAGCAGACCCUUGUUCACAAUCCAAAGGGAGUGGUAAUACGAAUAUCAGACAUUUUCUCCGAAACCUUCUCACAGCCAGACGUCGUGCUAUUCUAGAUGAUCUGUUCUUUCUGUGUAACUAGAAAAAAGCACUGCUUUCAGUAACAGAAGUUUGGAUAUUUAGUCAUGAAUUUUGUUUUCCCAUUUCCUGAUGUAUCUACUUCAUAUUCAUUUGCAUAUUUAUUCACUUAUCUUUGUAUAAAUAUAAUAAGCAUAAAGCCUUUUUCCUAAAAAAACCCAAAACACUACAACUGCAAUCUCACCAUUCUAACUCAUCAGCCGUUUCCAGUUUUGGAGUUUUCAGCAGGUGCAAGUGUGUACACAGAUGCUUGUGUAGAAGCGAGGUGGUGAUCUGGUGGUGUGUUCUCUUAGCAUAGGGUAUAAACAAUCCUCAUGCUCUGAACACAUUUUCUAAUACCAUUUAACUGGUCCUUAAAAGGCAUAAAUGAUGGGGAGCAAUUUUAGCUUGUACUUGAAUUGAGGUUAAAGUCACAUGGACAGGAACAUCAAGGAAAAUAAAAGAUCUUACAAGGUGAAAUCAUUCCCUUCCCUAGAAAAGGUAGCUUUGCUGCUCUCUCACUAACAGGUAAUAGUACUGGGAAAAGGGUCAUUCACUCACACAGGCCUCUGAUAAAAGCACACUCAACUCACAAGUCCUCCUUUGUAUCAGGCACAGUGCCAGGCACAGAAAAAUACCAGCCUGGGAGGAUAUGUUUUCUUGUUCUUGAGAAAUUCAGAAUUGAAGGUGAGGACAGAUGUUGACAGUAACGAUUUGAAUGAAUGGAAAGUAGAGACCUAUAGGGACUCUAUGGGUCUUGCAAGAAGGAAACAGUGACCCCAGGGAAUUCAGGAAGUCUCCCUAACAAGGGGGUGUUUGGGGGAGUUCAUUUGAAUGUCACUGUGUUUGCUGUUCUAGAAAUAUUUCCCUAUUCUUUCCAUUUGCUGUCUGUUCUAUCUCCAGAUUGUCCUCUACCCAACUUUGCUGUCCAUUGGAAAAAUAAUAUCCUUUUUCUCUCUUGAGGAAAGAUGGCUUCACCUUGCAGACUCUUGCAAAAAAUUAGUCUGAAUAUUAUUACAAUCUGCCUAAACGUCUGUAUUUCCCCAACUUCUACUCUCUUUGAGAGUCUAUUAAGGUAUUAUUCUUGUUAAGCCUUUCCCUUAGGUUCCUUUCUCCUAUAAACUGCAUAUAAAGCAAGCAAAGACACAGAAAAUGUCAACAUAAUGCAUAAGGAAACUAAGUGGCAAUGUCUCUAAGUUGAAUGUAAAAUUAGUGUGGAUUAGUAUAAAAUGAUUGUGCUCCCAAAGCUGAAAUUACUUGCUCUUGUCGUUAGAGGCUUGUACCUCCAGAGCUUAGAGAAGAGGAACUUUUAUAGAGCUUUUCUCUGACUUGUGCUCUGGAGGGAUGUGACGCUGCAGAUCUGAAUCUACAACCUCCCACCUGGGCACACUUAUCUUGAAGGCUCCCAGGAGAUCCCUUACCUUUCUGCAGAGCACAGCAGCCGAGGCAGCUGAGGCAGAAUUGUUUGUACUGGUUCCUGGCUUUCCCUCUAGUCACAAUCAGACUUAUCUCCCUAUUCCCUUGCAUUUUAAGGACCCAUUUGAAUCCAGACCCAUGUGCUACCUAGGAUUCCUAGAAUACCUUCCAUCGGCAGAUAAAUUUUGUGUUCAUUAAUUUAUUUGAGAUUCUAUUUUUUUCUUUUGAGUAGUGAAUACAAGUGUAACAGUGCAUAAUAAAAUGGAAUUUCAACAGAUGUUAAAUGGUGCAGAAUGACAAGAAGAGAGAAAUAAUACUGUAAGAUGGACACAAAUAUCUUGAUGUGAAAGACAAAACCAGGACCCUGAGGCAAAGGGAGAAAUCACACUCUCUGAAGAGCACCAGUUCAUGCACUAGGAAAACAGAACCCACAGAGAAUGUUUGAAACAGAAUUUAAUGCAGGGACCUGGCUGUGCAGGUGACAGAGGUGCAAUAAAGCUAACGGGGACCAGGAAGCAACUCAAGAUUACCCAAGCUGCACGACUACCAGGCUGCAAAAGAAGAGGAGGAGAAGGUACGAUAGCUUGAGUCUGGGGCCACUCUCCUGGCGGAAUCUGGAAGCCCACUGGUCUGUGUUGUUGGAACUGGACCUGCAGCCUGGCACAGUGCUGAGAUCAUGUCUCCAGCACAAUACUGGGAAUGUGAAUACAUGGCACCCAGAGGAAGAAACUGACCAUAGAUGCUACUUAAAUGAAUGAAAUGUUAAGAAGCUCUCCCUCCCUCAAGGCCAACUUUUGGGGUUUUUUUGGGGGGGGUUUAUGCUGUUUUUUUUUCUUUUUCCAAGAUCUUCCAGAAAAAGCAGAACUUUUGCCCAGACAGGGCAAGUGUGUCACAAAGUUCUGCUUUCACUGUGUGUUAAGUGGAAAUGAUUAAGCAAGCACACAGUAAGAGAUUCCUCUCUGCAUUUCCUCCGUGAUGGGGGCAGUCUUGCCAUGAACCUCUGCUCACUCAGACUGACAGUGCAAACCAUGAUGAUUUGCACUGAUAACCCCAGCGUGCCUCACUUAUCUAUCAUCAUGGCUUAUCCACCCAGAAUGUUGCUGAGGGGGCCUCUUCCUGAAUGCAUACAUAGGUUGGAAGGUACUGGAGUGUGUGUGUGUGUGUGUGUGUGUGUGUGUGUGUGUGUGUGUGUUCAGAACUGGCUUCAAGGAGCUGAUGUUUGACAAAACUUGUUCUAGUUGCCUCUGGCUGAUUAUGAGUUACUGUCUUUGGGCUCUAAGAUUUGGAAUGUCUAUAAAACUUCUACCCUAUGUUAACUCUGACAACUGUCUUCACCACCACAAUCAUUCCCUGAGCACUUUGUCCUGGAAUAAGCAUUAUACAUGCCCAGAUGGAACCAGGAUUCCUGUGUGGUAUCAUUUACAGGUGUGCAGACUUUUCCAACUCUCCCUGAAGUAUGGUGGGAGAACCCAGCUGUCCAUCCAAUUGCUUCCUUUGGAAUUAUGAGAAAAUGUCAUUUAUUUUGUUUAGUUAAGCUUUAGACUGGGGGUUGUUGGAUUUGUCAGAUUCUCAAAUCUGGAUGCAUUUUUAGAAUCCCCUGGAUGCUUUCUAAAAAUACUAAUGUUUGGGCCUCUCCCCAGAUCAAUUAAAUAAAAAUCAUUAAGGACACAGUUGGAGAGCUGGUUUUGCUUUUUUUUUUUUUUUUUCUGUUUUACCUCUUUAGGUGAUUCUAAUGAAUAACCAAGACUAAAAACUACUACCUUGGAGGUCAAGUACGACCUGUCUAUUGGGCAAGUAAUGUACCUUCAGUUGCUUUAGCUGUAAUAGUGAUAUAAAAGCAGGAGUUCAGGAAUCAGAGAAACCAGGGGAUGGAGCUCCAAAUCCAUCAAUUACCAGUCAUGUGACCUUUCUCAGUCUCAUGCAGCAACCUUACUUCAAUGACUCAUGAGAAUUCAAUUACAAGAAUUAAAUGAGAUAGCUCAAGUAGAACAUGUAUACCUGCCAGAUGGUAAAUACUCAGUGCAAGCUACAAUUACGUAAUAUUGGUCUUGUCAAUGAGUUCUCGGGAAGAGCUGCUUACCCAAGACUGUGGUUGACUUGGAAUGAUUUGGCAUUGUGACAGUGCACUGUGGUUGUUAAAUCUUCAGAAAUGAAAAAUGAUACUGAAAUUAAGGGAAGAAAGGAAAAAAACCAAAAAAGAAUGGAUAUAGAAGACCCAAAUCUAAGAAGUAUUUUCUGGUAGGAGAAAAGGCAUGGAUUUCCUCAGCAGGAAUUGUCAGAAGCCAGCCUAAUAAACCAUCUGGUUUCUCUAGCAGGUAAGUGGGCUUCUGUGGAUUGUGAAGAUGCCCCUCACCGGCAUGAUUCCCUGGAGUUAGGUGAACUGAAGCUGAAGUCACCAGCUGGAAUGGACAGUGCUUCAGGCUUUGUGUCAGCUGCAAGGCAAGAAAGUUUUAGGGCUCAGGAAGGAAGACUGACCCACCAACUGAGUUCACCCUGGGGUGAGGCUCUGGACUUCCUGUGCAUGCCAGUGACUCCACCACUGGCAGCAUGCUAGUAAGACUCUGCCAGGCCAAAGCUAACCCUUUGCCCUGGCUCUCAGAGUCCUGGCGAUGUAAUAGUCAAGUCCAAUAAAGGAGUCCUCUGGGCCUGCCUACUUGGAAAAUGAAGCCCAUUUAAGUAACUCCAGAAGGAAGAAAAUAAAAAUUUUUUACAAGUUUGGACACAGGAAGGAGACACUCAGAGGUCUUGCCCGUAGUGUUUCUGUGGAUGACAUUCCAUUUCUUCCAGCACAGACUUUAUUUAGCCACUCUCAGAAGGCCAAGUGGCUUCCCCGGAGCCACUUCAUUCUCCUCACUGCAAGAUUGUGUUUUGUGGAAGAGUCUGGAGCUAGGAUUCUGUAAAGGCUCCCCAGGACAGCAGGGAAGGAUGGCUCAGUGCCUAGAUCCAGGGACUCCCUGUCUGGAAAAGCUACUCAGCAGCCUGUCAAACCUCAUCUCCCCACCCCCAUGACAGAAGAAAAAUUAAUACUGCUCAUAUGUGAGGGUGUGUUAUGGGGGGGGCAAGAAUAACAGAUCAGGGAUAGGACCCUUGUCUAGAUACCUGUUAAUUCAACAAUAUAAUCAAACUUAAGUUUGAACUUGACUGACUACAUUCAAUAAUCAUUUUGUACUCUGCCCCAGGGGAUAUAGAAAUGUUGUAAGGCAUAUGGGUGGGAUAUUCAGGAAUUCUUUAAAGAAGAUUCUAAAGCUGUCUAAAGCCCUAGAAUGAUUAAAAUGUUCCCUUCUCCUAUGGGAGCAUUCAUAUAUGUUCCCAUUCAUGCCAGGGUAUGAAGCAGGAAGAUUUAUUGCAUUAGACAAUGAGGAUCCAGAUUCCAGAUGAAACUCAAUCAGGAAGGGACUCUUUUUGAUAAAAGGUGAAGAUACAUACACUUCUUCAAAUAUUUCAGGCAAUGGAGUUAGAAAUAAGACAUAGGACAUUUUAUUAGAGAAAGAAGCCAUUUGUAGGUUAAGUAAUAAGACUAACGCCCACUGCCUCUGGAAAUAUAUUUGGAGAAUCACCUAAACAUUGAUCUUAUUGAUAAUUCUUGGAUGCCUGAGGGCAAAUCAUAGCAGAGCCAGAAUCUAAUGACUUCAAAUGAUAACAAGGACCCUAAAGAACAACAUAAGACAAGAACAAUAGCCCUUAACUGGAACAGUAUAGGGCACAAAGA